GAAGAACUACACAUAAGUAAUACACACAAAAAGUAGUAGUACUCUAUAUCUAAUCUUCUUCCUCAUCAGUGAUAAAUUUGCCAGUACCAGGAUUUAUAGCAGCAAAGAAGAAGAAGGCAAUGUUAAACAACAAAAGAGGCUCAAUCUCAUUGAUUGGGACACCUGUCUCAAAGUUCAAUUGUGCCAAUGCUCCUUUCCCUGUAAUAAUUUCACCUAUAAUGGAAAAUGCAAUUCCCAAUUGUGCCAAUCUCCCUACAAACAACUCAUUUGCCUUUGUGAAUCCAAACAAUGGACCUCCUUCACUGAGUCCCAAAGCAGAUUUGAAGGAUUUGCCAGGAGGGAUAACAGCCUUUUCAAGGCCAGUAGGAGGGGUAGGGUCAUCAACAAAUUUGCCUCUGUCUCCCAAAGCUCCAAUGGCUCCAAGAAGAUUGAAUAGAAUGAAGAACAAUAGAAGUGGCUCUGCUUCAUAGAUUGGAAUUCCAGUUUCAAGAUUUAAUUGUGCCAAAAUACCUUUUCCUGUUAUUGCUUCUCCCAACAAAGAGGCAGCAAAACCAAUCAUAGCAACACGGCCAACAAAUAGCUCAUUUUGCUUAGUGAAGCCAAUUCCUCCGGAGGUACCAAAAAUCCCAUCCUCCACCUUUUGCUUUUCCUUUGGUGGUGCAACCUUUUUGGGAGGAGCUUUAGCUUUUGACUUGAAUAGAGCAACAGUAGUACUAGUGAAUUUUGAAGAAGAAGCAUUAGUGGAAGAAGAAGAAAAUCUCAAAGGAAGAGAAGGUAGGAACAAAGAAGACAAAGGCUUUGGUUUUAGUCUUUCAACUAAAGAUUCUUUACUCCUUAAAUCAACUUUGGCAUUGGCUGUUAACAACAUUGUUUGAGCCAUUUGCUUAUUCUCAACAACUUCAAAAUUCCCCUUUGAGUUUUUUGAUUGAAAAAAAAUAAAUGAAGAA
Molecule: unclassified non-coding RNA, 947 nt
Filed under: Hevea brasiliensis (rubber tree)
Lineage: Eukaryota; Viridiplantae; Streptophyta; Magnoliopsida; Malpighiales; Euphorbiaceae
Source: RNAcentral